This 253-nucleotide ribosomal RNA is filed under the name uncultured bacterium. Its description in RNAcentral is "partial 16S ribosomal RNA". It matches the Rfam family "Bacterial small subunit ribosomal RNA", at positions 524 to 776 of the family's 1533-position model. The record is from RNAcentral.
UACGUAGGGUGCAAGCGUUGUCCGGAUUUAUUGGGCGUAAAGAGCGUGUAGGCGGCUAGGUAGGUCCGUUGUGAAAACUCGAGGCUCAACCUCGAGACGCCGGUGGAAACCAUCUAGCUAGAGUCCGGAAGAGGAGAGUGGAAUUCCUGGUGUAGCGGUGAAAUGCGCAGAUAUCAGGAAGAACACCCGUGGCGAAGGCGGCUCUCUGGGACGUGACUGACGCUGAGACGCGAAAGCGUGGGGAGCGAACAGG